This 268-nucleotide ribosomal RNA is filed under the name Stutzerimonas chloritidismutans AW-1. Its description in RNAcentral is "Pseudomonas chloritidismutans AW-1 partial 23S ribosomal RNA". It matches the Rfam family "Bacterial large subunit ribosomal RNA", at positions 1 to 262 of the family's 2925-position model. Lineage: Bacteria; Pseudomonadati; Pseudomonadota; Gammaproteobacteria; Pseudomonadales; Pseudomonadaceae. The record is from RNAcentral.
GUUAUAUGGUCAAGUGAAGAAGCGCAUACGGUGGAUGCCUUGGCAGUCAGAGGCGAUGAAAGACGUGGUAGCCUGCGAAAAGCUUCGGGGAGUCGGCAAACAGACUUUGAUCCGGAGAUGUCUGAAUGGGGGAACCCAGCCAUCAUAAGAUGGUUAUCACACACUGAAUACAUAGGUGUGUGAGGCGAACCAGGGGAACUGAAACAUCUAAGUACCCUGAGGAAAAGAAAUCAACCGAGAUUCCCUUAGUAGUGGCGAGCGAACGGGG